This 499-nucleotide long non-coding RNA is filed under the name Sus scrofa (pig). RNAcentral describes it as "lncRNA (ENSSSCG00050011803.1)". Lineage: Eukaryota; Metazoa; Chordata; Mammalia; Artiodactyla; Suidae. The record is from RNAcentral.
AAAGUCGACAGCAAAAAGAAAAUUGUAAUUAAUAUCCAGGAACAGUUUCAGGAUACUGUGAAAAAAGUUCAAACUAAAGAUGAAAUCAUUUAACGCUGGAGGAAAGCAACAAGAAGUUAAUGAAUGGCUGUGACCAUCUAAAAGAGAAGAUGUAUCAGUAUGAAAAUGAGAAAACAGAGAAGCAGUUGUGAGACAACUUCAAUAAGAACUGGCAGAUACCCUAAAAAAGCAGUCCAUGUCAGAGGAAUCACUGAAGGUCAUGUCACGUUAUUGUGCUAACUUAGAAGAUGAGGCAUGGGAUUUAAAGAAGAAAUUACGUCAAAUCAUAAGUCAAUUGCAAGAAGCACAAGAACUACAUAUAGAAGCCAUGAAAUAUACUGAGAAGACACAGGAUCACAUGCAAAAGCUUGAACUUGAAAAUGCCAAGUUAAAAGUGAUGAAUAAAAAGCAAGUGGGCAUAAUUGAACAGCUUCAGAGAUAGAUGUUAAAUACAAGUGUG